This 460-nucleotide ribosomal RNA is filed under the name uncultured bacterium. RNAcentral describes it as "partial 16S ribosomal RNA". It matches the Rfam family "Bacterial small subunit ribosomal RNA", at positions 338 to 795 of the family's 1533-position model. The record is from RNAcentral.
CCUACGGGUGGCAGCAGUGAGGAAUAUUGGUCAAUGGACGAGAGUCUGAACCAGCCAAGUAGCGUGAAGGAUGACUGCACUAUGGGUUGUAAACUUCUUUUAUAAAGGAAUAAAACGAGGCACGUGUGCCUUUUUGCAUGUACUUUAUGAAUAAGGAUCGGCUAACUCCGUGCCAGCAGCCGCGGUAAUACGGAGGAUCCGAGCGUUAUCCGGAUUUAUUGGGUUUAAAGGGAGCGUAGAUGGGUUGUUAAGUCAGUUGUGAAAGUUUGCGGCUCAACCGUAAAAUUGCAAUUGAUACUGGCAGUCUUGAGUACAGGUGAGGUAGGCGGAAUGCGUGGUGUAGCGGUGAAAUGCAUAGAUAUCACGCAGAACUCCGAUUGCGAAGGCAGCAUACCGGCGCGAAACUGACGCUCAUGCACGAAAGUGUGGGGAUCGAACAGGAUUAGAUACCCGUGUAGUC